AUCCGCCAGCACGUCAGGUCAAGGUGCAGCCUAUGAAAUGGAAAGCAAUGGGCUACAAUUUCUAGUCUAGAAUAAACGAACAACCAUCUGAAACUAUGGUCAUGAAGGUGGAUUUAGUAGUAAGGGCGGAAAAUAGAGCCCCCCUUAACAGCGGCCCUGGGACGUGUACAAACCGCCCGUCACCCUCUUCAAUAGCCCCCCCCAAAAGUAAAUAACAUCACACUGGCACUUCAGAAGAGGCAAGUCGUAACACGGUAAGUGUACUGGAAAGUGUACUUGGACACAAAAUGUAGCUUAGUUAAAGCCCCCCGCUUACACCGAGAAGUCAUCUGUUAAAUCUAGAUCAUUUUGAGCCAAAAUUCUA
Molecule: ribosomal RNA, 364 nt
Filed under: Boophis sambirano
Lineage: Eukaryota; Metazoa; Chordata; Amphibia; Anura; Mantellidae
Description: partial 12S ribosomal RNA
Rfam family: Bacterial small subunit ribosomal RNA (bases 1-291)
Source: RNAcentral